This 446-nucleotide ribosomal RNA is filed under the name uncultured bacterium. RNAcentral's name for it is "partial 16S ribosomal RNA". It matches the Rfam family "Bacterial small subunit ribosomal RNA", at positions 338 to 795 of the family's 1533-position model. The record is from RNAcentral.
CCUACGGGGGGCAGCAGUCGAGAAUCAUUCACAAUGGGGGAAACCCUGAUGGUGCGACGCCGCGUGGGGGAAUGAAGUUCUUCGGAUUGUAAACCCCUGUCAUGUGGGAGCAAAUUAAAAAGAUAGUACCACAAGAGGAAGAGACGGCUAACUCUGUGCCAGCAGCCGCGGUAAUACAGAGGUCUCAAGCGUUGUUCGGAAUCACUGGGCGUAACGCGUGCGUAGGCUGUUUCGUAAGUCGUGUGUGAAAGGCGCGGGCUCAACCCGCGGACGGCACAUGAUACUGCGAGACUAGAGUAAUGGAGGGGGAACCGGAAUUCUCGGUGUAGCAGUGAAAUGCGUAGAUAUCGAGAGGAACACUCGUGGCGAAGGCGGGUUCCUGGACAUUAACUGACGCUGAGGCACGAAGGCCAGGGGAGCGAAAGGGAUUAGAUACCCCUGUAGUC